Long non-coding RNA from Amphimedon queenslandica, 488 nucleotides. RefSeq lists it as uncharacterized. NCBI's taxonomy places the organism in Eukaryota, Metazoa, Porifera, Demospongiae, Haplosclerida, Niphatidae. The record is from RefSeq and is a predicted model, not a curated record. The transcript is spliced from 3 exons.
GGUUGAAAAUGGCGGAGAAACUCUGGUAAGGAGAGACUUUGAAACAGAGAUGUCCCUACGAUGAGAGACCAGUGUCCCGGGAGGGGAUAGUAUGACGAGUAUUUCAGAGUGUGAUCUCAUGAUAAAGUCGCUCCAAAAAGAGUUGGACAUAGUCCGGUUGGAGCUUGAAGCCAUAGUCCUGCAACAGAUACUAUAAAUACUGGAGGAGGAGGAGAAGGAGAGGAAAAGUGAGAGGUGAUGCUUGCUGUAGGGAAUACUAAGUUUUGCCAAUUUUACAGACCUGGCCGUAAUGAUGCCACUGAUGAUGUCAAAGUGGCCCUGAUCAACCGUGGAGCAGGCCGGAUAUAUUAUCUUAAUUUAGUGUCGGAGUUGAAGAAAGAAAUGGCAAGGAUACGCCAGCAGCUUUUCUUGCUAUUGGAAAAGUACACAAGGAUCCAGUUGGUGAUGCUCAAACAGAAAGUAGAUAAGCUGGACCGUAAGCUCCAACU